This 65-nucleotide ribosomal RNA is filed under the name Colletotrichum siamense. RNAcentral describes it as "partial 18S ribosomal RNA". It matches the Rfam family "Eukaryotic small subunit ribosomal RNA", at positions 1771 to 1831 of the family's 1831-position model. The record is from RNAcentral. Lineage: Eukaryota; Fungi; Ascomycota; Sordariomycetes; Glomerellales; Glomerellaceae.
AAUUAGAGGAAGUAAAAGUCGUAACAAGGUCUCCGUUGGUGAACCAGCGGAGGGAUCAUUACUGA